Long non-coding RNA from Cyprinus carpio (common carp), 1376 nucleotides. The record is from Ensembl. NCBI's taxonomy places the organism in Eukaryota, Metazoa, Chordata, Actinopteri, Cypriniformes, Cyprinidae.
GAACUCAAUUUGUCCUCCUGCACAGUUUUGGCAAGAAAAAGCCAUCUGAAGGCAUAAAUAUACAUUGAGCAUCAGUCUGUGGUUUAUGGCAGAGAACCUACGCAACAAACAACAAACGUCUACGUAUUACAGCAAAAGCCUACGCUAAAAGGAAAUCGCACACUUAUACGUAGAUAUGUUUAUUUGUGUUGCCAUUGUGGGCCGCUCUCACGCUGAACUACAGGCCUGAGAGGAAGUUUCCAGUGCGGUUACCAUGACGAGGGUCUUGGAGUACAGGAAGUUCAGUGCUAAGAGAAAUGACAUCCGAGAGGGACCCAGACAAACAUUUGUCCAGAUGAACUGGGGUAACAGGAUUGUGUUUGGACAGGAGCUUCUCUCCGCAGGGAACAAGCUGUAGAAACAAGCUGAAGAAAUUGAGAAAUUCAUGAAAAUGUCUGUUUCCGACUGGAAUGAAGAUUUUACAGGCAAAACAAAGAAAAGCCCCCUCGGCUGGAGAGAGAGAGAGGGAUGGAAUGAGAAAGAGAGCUAGUGAAACAGUGAGUCAUGAGUGCAGCUUUGAACAACAAGGGGAAAUCCUCCUAUUGAGAGGCAUGUGCUAUGGAAACACAUCACUCAUAGAGGUAACGGAACCGGAGGCCACACAUAAACCAAAACCUUUAGCCAUUUAUCUGGAGUCUUGACAUUGUGUCAUGCAAAACAGUAGCAAUUUUAAUAACAGACAACUGUGAUGCGUUAGCAAUACAUACUUCAUUUCAUGAACGUUUUAAUAUUCUAAAAGGAUUUUUGUUGUUUUGUAGAAAUUAUAUGGCAUUCAAAGUGCAUGUACAGUACAUAGUGUUCUUGAUCGUUCCGAUUAAUAUGCAUAUUCUUGUAAAAUGUGUCUUGAGUUCUUCUUGAAGUGAUUCAAAUUUGUGGUUUUUCACACUAAAAUACUAACAGCUCAUCAAGAAGCCUACACAAUGGAGCUAUUUAGGGAAAUUUCACAUGAAUGUCAUAUGUAAGUAUUCACCCUGUACUUUCUGUUGCAGCGCUUGAGCUAGCACUUUACGUGCAGGAAACUCAGGGGAAAGCUCCCCAUUUGGGUUUAACAUUAAAAAGAAACGUUUCCUGUUGCUUAUCAGUGUUUCUCUCACAUUGUUCUCAUUUGCAUAAUUUCCACUCUGAUGUUAAAAAUCAGGGUUUUUAGGGCCCCAAGAGUCAGUUACAUCAUAUAAUUUUGAGACUUUUGUUCUGGUUUAACAGAAAUUAAUAUAAAGAUGUCAACAGGAAGUGUGCAUGUACUUGAAUGGCUGAAAAUGGGAUGUAUUUUUCAACUGUUUGUAUGCAGAGAGGUGAUGAAAUGUUAAUGAUGAAUAAAUUUGUUGAUAAUGAUUACA